Magnolia sinica is the source of this 1137-nucleotide long non-coding RNA. RefSeq lists it as uncharacterized. The transcript is spliced from 3 exons. NCBI's taxonomy places the organism in Eukaryota, Viridiplantae, Streptophyta, Magnoliopsida, Magnoliales, Magnoliaceae. The record is from RefSeq and is a predicted model, not a curated record.
CGAGUGAGAGAGAUCUUCGUUCUCUUUCUAGGGUUUUCCCCUGGGAUUUUCACACCUCAAUCGUCCCUCCUUUUUUCUGCACAGAAAACCCUAGCUUCGGCUCCUCUUCCUAUACUGAGAUUCUCCAACGCCGCCGCCUGGCGCAGUUUCCGCUGAAGCAGCUAAAGCAAAACCCUUCCAUGGCAGCGAAAUCCGUUGCUCCGACUGCAAGAGACCUCCUGCCGGAGGUCUUUGGGAUGGAGACUCUGCCGGAAAAGCCCCGGGGUCGGGUUCUCCCAUCCAGAUGUUCAGCAAAUGGCGAUGCUGGAGCUCGGACCCUCUCGAGCAUAAUGCAAAAACUAUCCAAGGGAGACAAACUUGAAAGCUCGCAUGAUCGGUAUGAAUUUUCAUUUCUUUAGUCGGUGAUAGGGUUUCUGCUUUGAGAUGAUUGUAGAUUUAGUGUUUCUGAAGGUUUGUGAUUGUUUAUGGGGGUUCAUACAUGCUGUUGAAUUCGAAUUUGAUUGCGGAUUACAAAAAUAGGAAUUCAUUUUAAAUCUAGAUUGUUAAUAUUGUUAGUUUGUUCACGUCAAUUUGAUAGCACCGAUUUGGGAUACGUCUGUUCUCACUGAAAACAUGGAGGGCAAAAUCGACUGGCCUCUAGAACGGUCCAAGGCCUAUUUCUUAUUAUAAAAUAAAUAGGCCAAUAUAGCGUGAGCUCUGUUCAGUCCAAAUCAGAUAGUUAGGUUUUUUUUAAUAACUGUUUUCUUAGAGAUCCUCUGCUUGGAGUGAAUUUGGAGAAAAAUGUGGCUUUAAAGCAGGAUGCAGCCCACGGUGUAAUGCUUGCACAUAAUUCUAUGUCCAAAAGGGCAUUGGCAAUCUAAUUGAUGAGGACUCAAUUGAGGAAUAUGAAAAGGUGGCAAAGGAAAAGAGCAAGGAGAAAUUGGAGCAACAGGAAGGAGUGGAGUUAAAUUUUCUCAGCAAACUUGGUCAUGUCCAAAAGAUUGAGAUUCUGAAUGGCAUUGCUGACAUGAAGAAUGAGCUCAGGUCCUUCAUGAACAAAGGUAUAUUUCAGCAGUGGGUGAUCCAGGCAUGAGAAGAGAUGGAUUGAGAGUGGCAUUUGAAGGCUGGAAUUUUUGCAAUGAAGUUGGCAAUGAAAUU